Molecule: ribosomal RNA, 466 nt
Filed under: uncultured bacterium
Lineage: Bacteria
Description: partial 16S ribosomal RNA
Rfam family: Bacterial small subunit ribosomal RNA
Source: RNAcentral
GACGAACGCUGGCGGCGUGCUUAACACAUGCAAGUCGAACGGAAAGGCCUCUUUCGGGGGGUACUCGAGUGGCGAACGGGUGAGUAACACGUGAGUAACCUGCCCUUGACUUUGGGAUAACUUCAGGAAACUGGGGCUAAUACCGGAUAGGAGCUCCUGCUGCAUGGUGGGGGUUGGAAAGUUUCGGCGGUUGGGGAUGGACUCGCGGCUUAUCAGCUUGUUGGUGGGGUAGUGGCUUACCAAGGCUUUGACGGGUAGCCGGCCUGAGAGGGUGACCGGCACAAUGGGGACGGAGUUACGGCCAAGACUCUUAGGGGAGGAAGCGUUGGGAAUAAUUGAAAAAUGGGUGGAAGCCGAAUGCGGCAAGGCGGUGUGGGGGAUAACGGCCUCGGGUUUGAAACCGCUUUCGCUCAUGACGAAGCUUUGUGUGACGGUAGUGGGUAAAGAAGCACCGGCUAACUACGUG